This is a long non-coding RNA of Gadus macrocephalus (Pacific cod), 1058 nucleotides long. RefSeq lists it as uncharacterized. The record is from RefSeq and is a predicted model, not a curated record. Lineage: Eukaryota; Metazoa; Chordata; Actinopteri; Gadiformes; Gadidae. The transcript is spliced from 2 exons.
ACACACACACACACCACACACCACACACACACACACACACACACAGUCUUGUAUAUAUCACCUUGUUAGGACUCUCUGUAGGGCCAUCACUUUUGAGGACUAUGCCUUCCAGGCAACAUAGAGAUAUAUAAAUUAUACCAUUGCGGUCAGAAAAAAAUCAGUAUAAAUGUGUGCACUUGAAAUUAAGUAUACACUCAAGAAAAAAUACAAAAAGCUUUUUUGCCAGCUUCUUAGGACCACAGUGCCCGCCCCACUGCCCGCCCACAAGGCGGGACCAGUGACCAAAAGCUUUUUUGCCAGCUUCUUAGGACCACAGUGCCCGCCCCACUGCCCGCCCACAAGGCGGGACCAGUGUGUGUGUGUGUGUGAGCGUAUGUAACACCUAUGUUAGGACCUGUAAGACCUAGUUAGGACCUACUUCUGUCAACCUGUUUCUGUCCGGUUUGAAAACUUAAUUACUGAUCGAGAAUACCAGCAAUGUCUUAGGUGGCCAGCGUGGCCUAGUAGAGAUGGUUGGAGAGGAUGGUGUUAAGACUGUCAUCCAUUCUGAAUGAGCUGCACCCAACGGAAGACAAUCUAAGCAGCUGCUUAAGAGACCAACUGCUUCACUGAAUGAGUGGAAAGGAGAGGCAGGCCUUACCGUCCUGUUGCUGUUGACUGUAUGAUCAACACUGAUCACACAAUAGCUAGAACCACUUCAAUGUCUGUACUGUACUGCACAUAAAUGGGCAUUUGUUUAACAUCUCUGACUAUUAGUACUUCAAUAUUACUUAGGUUACAUGUGCAAUACCUGUGGGUACUGGGAAGCAGUGAAUACCAAGUAAUUGUUCUUGUAGGUGAACAUUUGCAUGACCAUAUAUAUACAUUACCAGUGUGCAGCAGUGGCAACCAUGCUGAUGUGUGAUGUGAUGCUCAUCAUGUGCAUGUACACAAGGGCCCUAUUCAUAUUAAUCUGGAUGUCACUUCUGCUCUUGCAACAAUGCACACUUCUCAACUGUCAGAAUGAAAGGAUUAUUGUGCACCAACUCAGCACCAAUUAAAUCUGUAAUAUUAUUCCA